UUGACAGAUCUGGAGCGGUUAUGUCUGCUUUUAAGGUUUCCACUAAGAUGGAAGAAAAAAUUUCCUUGAGCUUUCUCUGCCUGAUUGUGGCAGUCUAGAUUGAAUAGGGGAAUACAAGA
RNAcentral lists this small nucleolar RNA (119 nucleotides) under Vombatus ursinus (common wombat). RNAcentral describes it as "Small nucleolar RNA SNORA31 (ENSVURG00010022259.1)". It matches the Rfam family "Small nucleolar RNA SNORA31". From Rfam's summary of the family: ACA31 (SNORA31) belongs to the H/ACA class of snoRNAs which are thought to guide the sites of modification of uridines to pseudouridines. ACA31 is predicted to guide the pseudouridylation of U3713 in 28S rRNA and U218 in 18S rRNA. Lineage: Eukaryota; Metazoa; Chordata; Mammalia; Diprotodontia; Vombatidae. The record is from Rfam by way of RNAcentral.